RNAcentral lists this ribosomal RNA (484 nucleotides) under uncultured bacterium. Its description in RNAcentral is "partial 16S ribosomal RNA". It matches the Rfam family "Bacterial small subunit ribosomal RNA", at positions 30 to 507 of the family's 1533-position model. The record is from RNAcentral.
AUUGAACGCUGGCGGCAGGCCUAACACAUGCAAGUCGAGCGGAUGAAGGGAGCUUGCUCCUGGAUUCCGCGGCGGACGGGUGAGUAAUGCCUAUGAAUCUGCCUGGUAGUGGGUUAUAACGUCCGGAAACGGGCGCUAAUACCGCAUACGUCCUGAGGGAGAAAGUGGGGGAUCUUCGGACCUCACGCUAUCAGAUGAGCCUAGGUGGGAUUAGCUAGUUGGUGGGGUAAAGGCCUACCAAGGCGACGAUCCGUAACUGGUCUGAGAGGAUGAUCAGUCACACUGGAACUGAGACACGGUCCAGACUCCUACGGGAGGCAGCAGUGGGGAAUAUUGGACAAUGGGCGAAAGCAUGAUACAGCCAGGCCGCGUGUGUGAAGAAGGUCUUCGGAUUGUAAAGCACUUUAAGUUGGGAGGAAGGGCAGUAAGUUAAUACCUUGCUGUUUUGACGGUACCAACAGAAUAAGCACCGGCUAACUUCGUG